RNAcentral lists this ribosomal RNA (800 nucleotides) under uncultured bacterium. Its description in RNAcentral is "bacterial SSU rRNA". It matches the Rfam family "Bacterial small subunit ribosomal RNA", at positions 8 to 818 of the family's 1533-position model. The record is from RNAcentral.
AGAGUUUGAUCCUGGCUCAGGACGAACGCUGGCGGCGCGCUUAACACAUGCAAGUCGAACGGUGAACCGGGCUUCGGCCCGGGGAUCAGUGGCGAACGGGUGCGUAACACGUGGGCAACCUGCCCCUCACUCUGGGAUAACCCCGGGAAACCGGAGCUAAUACCGGAUACUCCGAACGGUCCGCAUGGUCCGAUCGGGAAAGGUCCGCCGGUGAGGGAUGGGCCCGCGGCCUAUCAGCUUGUUGGUGAGGUAACGGCUCACCAAGGCGACGACGGGUAGCUGGUCUGAGAGGACGACCAGCCACACUGGGACUGAGAUACGGCCCAGACUCCUACGGGAGGCAGCAGUGGGGAAUCUUGCGCAAUGGGCGAAAGCCUGACGCAGCGACGCCGCGUGGGGGAUGAAGGCCCUCGGGUUGUAAACCCCUUUCGGCAGGGACGAAGCGGUUCCGUGACGGUACCUGCAGAAGAAGCCUCGGCUAACUACGUGCCAGCAGCCGCGGUAAGACGUAGGAGGCGAGCGUUGUCCGGAUUCAUUGGGCGUAAAGAGCACGCAGGCGGUUCGGCAAGUCGGUUGUGAAAUCCCAGGGCUCAACCCUGGGACUGCGUCCGAAACUGCCGGACUAGAGGUAGGUAGGGGAGAUCGGAAUUCCUGGUGUAGCGGUGAAAUGCGCAGAUAUCAGGAGGAACACCGGUGGCGAAGGCGGAUCUCUGGGCCUUACCUGACGCUCAGGUGCGAAAGCUAGGGGAGCGAACAGGAUUAGAUACCCUGGUAGUCCUAGCCGUAAACGUUGGGUGCUA